GCGCGAGUGGCGAAAUGGCAGACGCGCUGGCUUCAGGUGUCAGUGUCCGCAAGGACGUGCGGGUUCAAGUCCCGCCUCGCGCA
This 83-nucleotide transfer RNA is filed under the name Aquiluna sp. Its description in RNAcentral is "tRNA-Leu". It matches the Rfam family "tRNA". Rfam says of the family: Transfer RNA (tRNA) molecules are approximately 80 nucleotides in length. RNAcentral also lists the same sequence under 1 other name. The record is from RNAcentral. Lineage: Bacteria; Bacillati; Actinomycetota; Actinomycetes; Micrococcales; Microbacteriaceae.